Molecule: ribosomal RNA, 253 nt
Filed under: uncultured bacterium
Lineage: Bacteria
Description: partial 16S ribosomal RNA
Rfam family: Bacterial small subunit ribosomal RNA
Source: RNAcentral
UACGUAGGUGACAAGCGUUGUCCGGAUUUACUGGGCGUAAAGAGCGCGCAGGCGGUCGUUCAAGUCGCGUGUGAAAGCCCCCGGCUCAACUGGGGAGGGUCACGCGAUACUGAUCGACUCGAAGGCAGGAGAGGGUAGUGGAAUUCCCGGUGUAGUGGUGAAAUGCGUAGAUAUCGGGGGGAACACCAGUGGCGAAGGCGACUACCUGGCCUGUUCUUGACGCUGAGGCGCGAAAGCUAGGGGAGCAAACGGG